This 202-nucleotide ribosomal RNA is filed under the name Enterobacter hormaechei subsp. xiangfangensis. Its description in RNAcentral is "partial 23S ribosomal RNA". It matches the Rfam family "Bacterial large subunit ribosomal RNA", at positions 1691 to 1876 of the family's 2925-position model. Lineage: Bacteria; Pseudomonadati; Pseudomonadota; Gammaproteobacteria; Enterobacterales; Enterobacteriaceae. The record is from RNAcentral.
UGAGAGAACUCGGGUGAAGGAACUAGGCAAAAUGGUGCCGUAACUUCGGGAGAAGGCACGCUGAUAUGUAGGUGAAGUCCCUGCGGGCGGAGCUGAAAUCAGUCGAAGAUACCAGCUGGCUGCAACUGUUUAUUAAAAACACAGCACUGUGCAAACACGAAAGUGGACGUAUACGGUGUGACGCCUGCCCGGUGCCGGAAGG